This 1032-nucleotide long non-coding RNA is filed under the name Gossypium barbadense (sea-island cotton). Its description in RNAcentral is "long non-coding RNA (GBAR_LNC012210)". The record is from RNAcentral. Lineage: Eukaryota; Viridiplantae; Streptophyta; Magnoliopsida; Malvales; Malvaceae.
CAUCACAGUCUAGGUUUUCCAAGACCUGAAAUCUUGAUGUUCUUUCUCCGUUGACUGCAGCGUUUUCGACUCCUUUCUGUCUUGUUCUUCCGGUUCGUCUUGACUUCUUUUCAACCAACAUCCAGGGUCCAUACGUCCCUUGGGUAGUGUUUCCUCUUUUGUUAUCCCCUUUGUCAAUUCCCUGGUUUGUUUUGUCAGGUAUGUCCCCUUCACAAAUUCCUUCCAUCCCCAUCUCACUUUUAGGGCAAAUUUCCUUUGUGUGCCCAUAAUGCCCGCAUUGGAAGCAGACCGUUGGAAGGUGCUUAUACUCAAUUCGUUGAGUUGCUCCAUUGACAAGAACCUGCGAAAUCAAGGGCUUGUCCAAGUUAACGAACACAACCAUUCUUGCGAAUCUCCCUCUUACACCAUUGUCAGUAUUAAAAUCUAAUUUUGAGACUUUCCCGAUCGUGGCCCCAAUUUCCCGUAAGACUUGCCGUUUAUACAUGUGCCUAGGAAGACCAGAGAGUCGGAUCCAUGCCAUAACUGUUCUAGGAUAUGGAUGAAACGGGUUAAAGUCAAUAGUCCAUGGUUGGACAGUUAAGUACUACCCAAAGACUACCCACAGCCCUUGACACAAAACUCUCUCAUAAUCAUCCAGAUUCUUGAAUUACGCUAGAAAGUAGCCGUUCUCCACAUCCAUAAGAUUGAAAGGCUAAGAGGGUUUCCAUAGUGCAGUUACCUUGUUUUGUAAUGCAUUAUAACCUAUAUUCCUCCUCAACAGUUUUAUAACUACCGUGAGUUGCAUGUGAUUAACGAGGAUUUGGGUAAUACGAUCAGAAAAAUUGAUUGAAGGGACUCCAUUGAGUAUCGAGCGUUCCACAUCAUCUAUUGAUAACUCAAAAUCUUUAUCUUCUUCUGCUUCUGUAGCAUUGGUUGGUAUCUCAAUCUGGUAGAAUCCUAAGCCCAUCAGAUGAUCUUUCCAAGAGAGAGAUUUCCUUGUUUCUUUUAUUGUUUCCAUGUCGGCAUCUCGACUCUCCUCAGAAUCCCGUAGUC